UGCUUGUCUCAAAGAUUAAGCCAUGCAUGUCUAUGCACAAGCCAAAUUAAGGUGAAGCCGCGAAUCGCUCAUUACAACAGCCAUAGUUUACUUGAUCUUAAAAUCCUACUUGGAUAACUGUGGUAAUUCUAGAGCUAAUACACGCACCAAAGCUCCGACCGUAAGGGAGGAGUGCAUUUAUUAGAACAAAACCAAUCGGGCUUCGGCCUGUGUUUGGUGGAUCUGAAUAACUCAGCUGAUCGCAUGGUCUCGUACCGGCGACGUAUCUUCCAAGUGUCUGCCUUAUCAACUUUUGAUGGUAGUUUAUGCGACUACCAUGGUUGUAACGGGUAACGGAGAAUAAGGGUUCGACUCCGGAGAGGGAGCCUGAGAAACGGCUACCACAUCCRAGGAAGGCAGCAGGCA
This 405-nucleotide ribosomal RNA is filed under the name Nematoda environmental sample. Its description in RNAcentral is "SSU rRNA". It matches the Rfam family "Eukaryotic small subunit ribosomal RNA", at positions 29 to 436 of the family's 1831-position model. The record is from RNAcentral. Lineage: Eukaryota; Metazoa; Nematoda.